Molecule: long non-coding RNA, 7037 nt
Filed under: Gossypium barbadense (sea-island cotton)
Lineage: Eukaryota; Viridiplantae; Streptophyta; Magnoliopsida; Malvales; Malvaceae
Description: long non-coding RNA (GBAR_LNC020374)
Source: RNAcentral
AACUCACCAAAACCGUAGAGUUUUCUUCCCUUGGCUUACAAGUUCCAUUGUUUAUCAGAGCAAGAAAAAAAAGGGAAAAUGGAAGGGAAAGAAGAAGAUGUUAGACUGGGAGCUAACAAGUUCUCAGAAAGGCAACCUAUUGGGACAGCAGCUCAGUCCCAAGAUGAUAAGGAUUACACUGAGCCACCCCCAGCACCCUUCUUUGAGCCUAGUGAGUUGACUUCAUGGUCGUUUUACCGAGCUGGAAUCGCUGAGUUCGUUGCUACUUUCCUAUUCUUGUACAUCUCGGUGUUGACCGUGAUGGGAGUUGUUAAGGACAAAACCAAGUGUACAACUGUUGGGAUUCAAGGGAUUGCUUGGGCUUUUGGUGGUAUGAUCUUUGCCCUUGUUUACUGCACUGCUGGUAUCUCAGGUAAACUAUAUGAUCUUCUUUAUCCCUUGUUUGUUUCUCAGGAAAAUGAUAGAAAAGUUUAGUAUAUAUUGAUGAGUUAUGGUGAUGUUAUAGGUGGUCAUAUCAAUCCGGCGGUGACAUUUGGGCUGUUCUUGGCAAGGAAAUUGUCGUUGACAAGGGCAAUAUUCUACAUGGUGAUGCAGUGCUUGGGAGCUAUAUGUGGGGCUGGUGUGGUUAAAGGGUUCAUGGGGAAGACAAGGUAUGGUGCUUUGGGUGGUGGAGCUAACUCUGUGAAUCAUGGCUACACCAAGGGAGAUGGGCUUGGUGCUGAAAUUGUUGGUACCUUUGUUCUUGUUUACACUGUGUUCUCAGCCACUGAUGCCAAGCGCAGUGCCAGAGACUCUCACGUCCCUGUAAGUUUCAUCAAAUGAAUGAUUGAAUUGUUUAAACCAUUAAAAACCCAGAUUUUUAACCAUGACCAUGUGUUUGGUAGAUUUUGGCACCAUUGCCAAUUGGGUUCGCAGUGUUCUUGGUACACUUAGCCACCAUCCCAAUCACAGGAACUGGUAUUAACCCAGCUCGUAGCCUUGGUGCGGCCAUCAUUUUCAACAAGGACAAGGGAUGGGAUGACCAUGUAAGUCAAUUGUUUCACCAUUUUUCACUAUUAUUAUUUUUAAUCAUGAAUAAUAUACUUAUCUACUUUGGGUCUGGUUUGAUUGCAGUGGAUUUUCUGGGUGGGUCCAUUCAUUGGUGCAGCACUAGCAGCACUUUACCACGUUGUUGUGAUCAGAGCCAUUCCUUUCAAAUCAAAAUGAUCACAUUAUCAAUGGUCAUGAUCAUAUGAUUUCAAGAAAGUGAAAGUUCCACUCAUGCACCCUUUCAGUUUGUUUUUCCAUUUUUCUUUUGUUUGCAUGCCUUUUGUAUUUGGAUGUAAGAAUCUGUAAUAUAUUGCUCCAAUUUAAGUAAAGUCCAAUAUAAAUUUGCUCUCUUUCAAAGAAUUUGAAGGAUAGUUUAAGGCAACCAUGAGAAGUCAAACAACAAAUGGAACAACUUUGAGGUUGAACUUCAAUGGUUGACCCACAAUUUUCUUUUUUGAAGUUUAAACUUGUUACAUAUCCCAUGCAAGGACUCCCUUCGCCACGGCUAACACCCUCACCAAAAGCAUGCACGACAUUGAACUUUGAUAGACCACCACCUUCAGUACCUAACCUAAUUCACCAAGGAAUCCAUCCUUCUCUAGAAGAACUAUUCCUCCAUGAGUACGCAAGUUAGCUACCAUAACAACCUAACCACUCUGACAAGACACUUAUCAUUGGUCACCCACAUACCUUAUAUCUUAGUAAUAGCACGUCAUGUUGUUGACAUAGCUAGGAAUAAUUGAAUAUCGAGUUGGCCAAUCAGAAUGCACCACGUGUAAGGGGCUAACCUAUUCAUGUACUCCUUUUACUCCUCAACAAGGGGACCUCUUGUAUUGUGGUUCAAGCUUUCACACACCUCUCUCUUCUCCUUCUACAAACUAGAGGUUCCAACUUUCUUUUUCCUUUUUUAGAUUGGCACCUUCUUCCUCCUACACUCCCAUUUUCGAUAGGGGCAAUGGACAUAUUUGACUAACAUAUCUACAAGUUAUUUUUCUACCUUGGAAAAAUCUUUCCAACAACAUCAAUGCCCCUAUGCAUCCAACUUUCUCCACAUGAUUAAAACUUUCGCUUGUUUGAAGGCCCGCACAUAAGUCAACUCUUCAAAACUUGUUAGAACUCUUCUCUUCAAAACAAUAGCACCAAAUUAAUUUAUAUAUGAAGGGCAAUUGUCCUUUUAACCUUUAAUAAAAAAACUUUUUUUAAGGCGUAGGUAUCAUUGACAAGCAUUUUUCGAGAGUGGAGUAGGGUUCGUUGUACACAUAUCGCUUGAUGGUAACAUCCACCUUUUAAGGAAAUGAAAGUUCCUAAUAAAGUAGUGGUGGACUAACAAAUACGGAAAGGGAUUGUAUAAAACUGUGAUUCCACGUCAUCCCUAUCCCUUUCCUAGGAGAAUGACAAAUCAGAUUUUUCCUUUUGAAAAAAUUCAAAUUCAACUAAAAAUGCUAAAAAUUAGGAGGAAAAAUCUAAUUUGUCAUUCUUCUAUUGGAAAGGGAUAGGGAUCACGUGGAAUCACAGUUUCAUACAAUCUUUUUCUCAUAAUAUACUUUUCCUUCAUUAGAUGCAUGUUGCUCUUAGUGUUAUCCAACAUGACCUGGCAACCCUUGUGUGCCAUGAAGAAUACAAACCCUAUCUAAUACAUUCCAUUAAUGGGAGACACAAUAUAAAUCUUCCAGAACACUCCCACCAAAAGUUAUUCACCUCACCAUUAACAAUAAAGGAAAUAUGUUAUAAGAUCCUACCACAAGGUCCCCACUAACUACCUCAUGCAAUUCCAUAAGAGCUCAAAACCUUCACAAAAAGGGAAUGGAAGGAAGAUGGAAUCCAGCCUCAAUCAUGUAUAAUGGUAUAAAAAGGCUAGCUUACCUUUACCCUUUACGAACACCAUACUCAAAGUUUUCUCCUUGGUUGGAAUAAAAAAUUCGUAUUGGUAUUUGUCCAAUUGCAAACCAGAACAUUUUAAUAACACCCUCAUCUCCUCCAUUGUGUGCACUCAAAAUUGUCAGUACUGACAAAUAUGUCAAUUGACCUCUUCUUCCUAUUACCUUUCUUCUUAACAAUAUGCUUAUACCUAUUAUUGCUGACCAUUCUAUGAAGAAAAGAAUCUCAAAAACUCCCAACAUGAAAACGAAGAAAGAAAGUAGAGAAUCAAAGAAGGAAAGUGGAAAAUAAACUCGCAUCAAAGAACCAAUAAGGUAAAAUUGCUACCUUAUUUCCAAAAGAACCUAACUAACCUUCAUUUGUCACAUACAUAAAUUUCAUGCACAUUUCUCAAAAAACUAUUGCUAAACACAUCAAUUGUGCACAUAUUUCUCAAGAAACCAUUGCAAUACCAAAACAAGCAUUGCCUUGUGUCCUACAUUUCAUCAUCAUCCUAAAAAUUCACACGACUCAAGCAAUGUCUUAAAUAGUGCUUCCCUAGAUCAUGCUUAAUCAUCAAGUUAGCACUUAAGUCAUCUGUUACAAAGUUUGAAAUCUAAAAUUUUGAAAAUUAUGAAUAUUUGUACCUUAUAUUGAUGAAAAUGUCCAAAAAAAAUGGGUAAGUAAUAUUUGCGUUACAGGAAUUCAUGUAUCAAGGAAUGCCAUUUUGCAACAUUUUUUUCGACUAGGGACAAUUGUUACAUAUACCUUGUUAAGGCCUCCUUCUCCACGACUGACUCCCUUGCCAAAAGGAUGAAUAGCACUGAACUCCAUUAGACCACCACCUCCGUUGCCUGACCUAGUUCGCCAUGUCCUCAUCCUUCGCCAAUAGAACUAUUCCACAAGGUUGUUAGGAGUACAUAAGUUAGCUACCCCUGAUAGCCUAACUACUCUCACAACCCACCUAUCACUUAUCAUCCACACACCUUGCAACUUAAAAACAUCAGAUCAUCUUGUUAACCUAACAAGGAACCAUUGAAUGGCAAGCCGACCAAUUAGAACACGCCACAUGGUAAGAGGGCCAACCUAUUCAUAUACUCCUCUUACUCCUCGAUGAUGGGGAACCUCUUUCUCAUUUUUGGUUCAAGCUCCCAGCUUAUCUCUCCUCCUCUUCUCCAAGCCUUCCUUUCAUCAGUUCUUCCUUCCUCUAUACCCAGCUUCACCAUCUUUCUUUGCAACUCUCCGCCUAUAGGGUGAAUCACUACAUCUACCUCUACCAUAUUUUCUCUUUCAACAAAACUCAUGUCGAAGAACCAUGCAAUAUGGCUCCGCCUAUUAUUGUGUUGGAACCAUAGUAUCAAAUUGCAAUUAUGAUGUCACAAUUGUAGACAUUACAUUAACACAUAAUAAUUAAUGCGAACAUGAUUCUUUUUUUUUUCAAAAAUCAUAUUUUCUUUUAAGACAAUAUAGUUAUACAUUUGAAAUUUAGUCCCUCCACUUUUCAAAUUAUAAAAUGCAACUCUAAUUGUUAACAUCGUUAAAAAUUCUUAUGUUAAAUUUAGAUUCUUUACAAUAUCAUUUUUUUGUUACAUGACUACCAAAUGAAUAUUUUGUUUAUCCUAAAAUGUCAAACCAGUGAAUUUAACUUAAAAUUUUUAAUCGUGCAAAAAAUAGACUUAAAUAAUGAUUGAAUUGCUCGAAAUAAAAGUAGAGAGACUACAUUUCAAUUCCAGAAAAAAUACAAGGACUUGAAGCAUAUGUUUAACUUUUAAAAAAAUCUUAGUAAUUUUUAUGUUUUUCUGAAACUUUGGAAAAUUUUGUUUAUUUUAAAAUUUUUUAUGAUUUUUAUUUUCUAUAAUUUUAAGAAAUUUUGAAUAUAUUUAUGAUUUAUAGUUUUUAAAUUUUUUUAAUAUACCAUGUUCUUUUUAUUAAAAAAGUUUCAUAUAUUAGAAUUUGAUUAAUUCAAAUACAUGUAUUCAAACAUAUGGAUUGAAUUUGAAAGUUAUGAUAUUAAUUUUCUUACAUAUUUUCAAAAUUCAAAUAUAUAUAUAUUCAAACAUAUGAAUUGAUUUUCAAAAACUAUGAUUUAUGAUAUUAAUUUUGUUAGGCAUUUUCAAAACUAAAGUGUUCAAACCAACAAGUGUUGGUUGUAAUGGUAAGGGAUAUUGCUCUUUUAAGUAGAGAAAUACAGAUUCAAACUUUGAAAAUAAUAUUGUUGAAAAAGGCAAUCACGAAUAAAGGCUAAAAUGUAAUUUUACUAUUUUAAUAGUUCAUAUCUUUUCAAUUUAAAAAGGACUAAAUUAAAAUUUAUCUUUUUUGGGGGGCAAAGUGUAAUUUUACUAUUUAUCAACUUAAAAUUAUAUAAAAUUUAAAAAUUAAAAAUUAAAUUUUAUAUUUUAGGAGGGUCGGGGCCCUUCCAGCCCCUCUCUCUACCAUGAUCAUGAACCUUAAAUAUAAGUUGUAAGACGAAUAUAACUUUUCUCUUUUCACUCUUGAUUACAGAACUUGAAUAUAAACUAUAAAAUGAGAAUAAUGAUGCGUCUAAUCUAAAGGUUUUGCCAGCUUUUAUAUAUAUAUAUAUAUAAUGAUUAAAGCUGAAAGAUUCUGAAUUUGAUUAAUCUGUUACAUUAGUCAUUAGAUGACAAAAAUUAUUUAAACAAACAAGAUUAGGUUAAGGAAAUUAAUUAUAAAUAAAUUCCCAAUUACUCCAUCAUUAUCUUCCAAAAACAAUGUAGCCUGGAUUACAGAUUCUCACUUUUCUGCAUUUUUCCUUUUCCAAUUUUAGGUGAAAAUCAUUGGCUCAUAUAAAGCCAAGAUUUUCCCUAUAAUCUCAAUAUUUGGAUUUUUUAAAGAAAGUGUUAGUCUUGGGUAAGGUAUAAUAUUAAUAAAAAAUCUCUAAAAAAUAUAUUAUUAAUAAAAUAAAGAUUAAUAUUUGAUACACUCAAUUCACAAAUAGAUUUAAAAAAUUGUCAUGUAUCUUAUUUAUUUUAUAUGUAUUUUUAAUAUUUUACUCUAAUUUAUAAUACAGUUAUUAUCAUCUCGACUUUUCAUUUGGAGUCUAAAAACUCCACUCACAAUUUAUCAAAUAUUUUCUUAAUAAAAUAAAACCAAUUUAUAUUAAAUUAAAUCAAUGAAAUCUUCUCACUGUUGGAAAAGCUGAGGCCCUAUCACCUAUAACUGUGCAUGUGUAAGUCUCCUAUCCCAUCAGUGAGUUUUAGUUUGAAUGUUCUUCGUGUGUUUGUGUGUAGUAAACUUAUAAUGAUUUGAUUCUAUUUUGUAGUUUUGUUUGAAUCCGAUCUGUUUAAAAAGUGGUUUUGAAUUGCUUAAAUUGAAAAUUAGUAUAAAUCGAUUGAACCGAUAGUUGAAUCGGGUGAAUAAUAUUUUUUAAAAAAAUUUUAAAUUUUUUUUAAUUAAACCAGUGAAACCAAUUAAAUCGAUGAAUUGAUAAUCAAAUCAAUUCAACCAUCAAUCCAAUUUAAAAAUUACUCCAACAUUUACUUACUCAGUUCUUGUAAUUAUUAUUAUAUUUUACUUAUAUUAUAUUUUUACUUAAAAAAUUCUUUCUUCCAAAAAAUUUAUAUCGAAUUAAACCUUGGAAUUCUGUUAUUCAAUUUUUGACUAAGCUUUCGCCAUUUUUGAAACACAAACAUUAAUCCAAUCAUUUACACUCCCUUCGUUCUGGCAAUGGGGCGGUGGCUGGGAUCAUCGUCAGCUUAAAAAUUUGUGGCCAAAAUUAAGCCAACUAAGGUCUCCCAGCAGCCACCCCACCAUUGUCCUUCACUAAUAAUAAUUAUUCCAAUUGUGUUUAUUUCAUGUCAUUUUCCCAAAAACGAUUGGUCGGUCAUAAUUCAUUAUAUUUAAAUAUAAAUAUUGAAUUCUAACAAAUAAUUUAUUCAUUUAUACUCAUCCAAACAUAGUAUAUAAAACACAUACCCCAUUAACUCAUAAAAGCCAUAGAGAAUUUAGUUUCUUUAGCUCACAGGUUCCAUUGUUUUUCAGUAGUAAAGAGCAAAAAACAGAAGGGAAAUCAAUGGAAGGGAAAGAAGAAGAUGUUAGAUUGGGAGCUAACAAGUUCUCAGAGAGGCAGCCUAUUGGGACAGCAGCUCAGUCCCAAGAUGAUAAAGAUUACACUGAGCCACCACCAGCACCCU